GACCCCAGGUCAGGCGGGGCUACCCGCUGAGUUUAAGCAUAUCAAUAAGCG
RNAcentral lists this ribosomal RNA (51 nucleotides) under Crocus neglectus. Its description in RNAcentral is "partial 26S ribosomal RNA". Lineage: Eukaryota; Viridiplantae; Streptophyta; Magnoliopsida; Asparagales; Iridaceae. The record is from RNAcentral.